This is a long non-coding RNA of Papilio xuthus (Asian swallowtail), 345 nucleotides long. RefSeq lists it as uncharacterized. The transcript is spliced from 2 exons. Lineage: Eukaryota; Metazoa; Arthropoda; Insecta; Lepidoptera; Papilionidae. The record is from RefSeq and is a predicted model, not a curated record.
GUCAUCAGUGCACAAUCAAAUCCUCUGCGGUAAACGUAUAUAUAAAAAGACAAAAAAAUCAUUUUCAUCAGCAGUUAUCCGUCUUCAUAGACGUUUAUACUAGUUUAUUAUCUGGUUUAUUUAUACCCUUUGCUACUUUCAAAAUGUGUUGCGGACCUUGCGGUGGAUGCUGCGGCGGCUGUUGCUGCGGGCCAUGCUGCCCCUGUAUCACCAUCUACACUUGCUGUACGAAGAUCUGCUAACCUGCCGCGGCGAGGGAACGUCGCAAGGCGCUCCACGUCCGCUCGGCUUCGUUAUGUACUCAAUAUACAGUGCCGUUACGUGAAAUAAAUGUAUUAAGAGUAA